Molecule: transfer RNA, 54 nt
Filed under: Camallanus cotti
Lineage: Eukaryota; Metazoa; Nematoda; Chromadorea; Rhabditida; Camallanidae
Description: tRNA-Met
Source: RNAcentral
AGUGGUUUAGGAUAUGUAGUCUGGUCGGUUCAUGGUCGGCAGGAUUAACUGCUA